CAGUGUUUAAAACGGCAUCUGGGGAGAGCUAACAUUCAGGGCUGGCCCUCCCCACAGAGUCUGACUCAGGAGGGAGCUCCCUGACUGCACCUCCAUCACCUCACCUCUGCCGGAACCCUCCAGUGACGGGGAGCUCACCACCCUGUGAAGCAGCCCUUCCAUGGGACUGUGAGAGGCACCUCCCCUGCUGGCCCAGCUCAGCCUCCCCAGCGCUCCCGUCAGCCCAGCUCUGCAGACAGCCCACCCACAUCCCCCAGGGUUCCUGCCUUCCUGAGAGUCCUCCUUCCCAGCUGAGCCCCUGUCCCCUCCCCCCAGCUGCCCCUGCUCCCGCAGCCCCUCUGGCCCCUGAGCAGGUAGGUGCCCAGGACACCUGCUCCAGCUGCUACCCCCCAGACCUCCCCUCACUUCCCUACUGCAGGCUUGGGGCAGAGCAGACACCCACAGCCCCUCCAGAUGAGGGGUCAGGGCUCCAUCUGACAGCUCAGAUAGGAGCCACCGAGGUGCAGGGAGAUU
This 513-nucleotide long non-coding RNA is filed under the name Equus caballus (horse). RNAcentral describes it as "lncRNA (ENSECAG00000053766.1)". Lineage: Eukaryota; Metazoa; Chordata; Mammalia; Perissodactyla; Equidae. The record is from RNAcentral.